AAUCUUCCACAAUGGACGAAAGUCUGAUGGAGCAACGCCGCGUGAGCGAAGAAGGUUUUCGGAUCGUAAAGCUCUGUUGCGAGGGAAGAACAAGUACGGGAGUAACUGCCUGUACCUUGACGGUACCUCGUCAGAAAGCCACGGCUCACUACGUGCCAGCCGCCGCGGUAAUACGUAGGUGGCAAGCAGUGUCCGGAAUUUGUGGGCGUAAAGCGCGCGCAGGCGGUCCUUUAAGUCUGAUGUGAAAGCCCACGGCUCAACCGUGGAGGGUCAUUGGAAACUGGAGGACUUGAGUACGGAAGAGGAAAGCGGAAUUCCACGUGUAGCGGUGAAAUGCGUAGAGAUGUGGAGGAACACCAGUGGCGAAGGCGGCUUUCUGGUCUGUAACUGACGCUGAGGCGCGAAAGCGUGGGGAGCAAACA
This 422-nucleotide ribosomal RNA is filed under the name uncultured bacterium. Its description in RNAcentral is "partial 16S ribosomal RNA". It matches the Rfam family "Bacterial small subunit ribosomal RNA", at positions 360 to 774 of the family's 1533-position model. The record is from RNAcentral.